Molecule: ribosomal RNA, 484 nt
Filed under: uncultured bacterium
Lineage: Bacteria
Description: partial 16S ribosomal RNA
Rfam family: Bacterial small subunit ribosomal RNA
Source: RNAcentral
AUUGAACGCUGGCGGCAUGCUUUACACAUGCAAGUCGAAUGGCAGCGCGGGCUUCGGCCUGGCGGCGAGUGGCGAACGGGUGAGUAAUGCAUCGGAACGUGCCCAGUAGUGGGGGAUAGCCCGGCGAAAGCCGGAUUAAUACCGCAUACGACCUGAGGGUGAAAGCGGGGGACCGAAAGGCCUCGCGCUAUUGGAGCGGCCGAUGUCGGAUUAGCUAGUUGGUGGGGUAAAGGCUUACCAAGGCGACGAUCCGUAGCUGGUCUGAGAGGACGACCAGCCACACUGGGACUGAGACACGGCCCAGACUCCUACGGGAGGCAGCAGUGGGGAAUUUUGGACAAAGGGGGCAACCCUGAUCCAGCCAUGCCGCGUGCGGGAAGAAGGCCUUCGGGUUGUAAACCGCUUUUGUUCGGGAAGAAAUCCUCUGGGCUAAUACCCCGGGGGGAUGACGGUACCGGAAGAAUAAGCACCGGCUAACUACGUG